AAUAAGUGUAGUUUUGCACUAUUCAUAUCCAACGUUUGACCAUUUGUCUUAUUUGAAAAAAAAUUAUGAUUAAUAUUUUUAUCGUUAUUAGAUGAUAAAACAUGAAUAGUACUUUAUGCGUGACUACUUUUUUUAAUUUUUUUCACAAAUGUUUUAAAUAAGACGAACGAUCAAACAUUGGACAUGGAUAACCACAGCUGCACUUAUU
This is a non-coding RNA of Oryza meridionalis, 208 nucleotides long. The record is from Rfam. NCBI's taxonomy places the organism in Eukaryota, Viridiplantae, Streptophyta, Magnoliopsida, Poales, Poaceae.